GGGAGGGGUAAACUAUUGAAUGUGGUUCAAUCAAGAGAAGGAAAAAAAAAUAAAAAUAAUAGAUAAGAAUACUCUUCUAGCUUCACAGUAUCCAAAUAAUAAGAAAACUUUCAUAAAGAUAGACUAGAAUGAGAUUUACAGAUCAUUUGAUAGACAUGACUGAUUUCCAAAUUUUGCCUGUUUUUAGAAAGGGGUACUGCUUUAAUAGUG
This 210-nucleotide long non-coding RNA is filed under the name Mytilus galloprovincialis (Mediterranean mussel). The record is from RNAcentral. Lineage: Eukaryota; Metazoa; Mollusca; Bivalvia; Mytilida; Mytilidae.